UGAAUACGAGAUGCUACGGCAUUGAAGCAGUGUAUGUCAGACUUCCAAGAAAAGCUCGCAAUGUCAUAAACAAUAAAUGCCUGUACCAUAACCGACACAGGUGGGUAGGUAGAGUAUACUAAGGGGCGCGAGAUAACUCUCUCUAAGGAACUCGGCAAAAUGACUCCGUAACUUCGGGAGAAGGAGUGCCUUAUUUUAUAAGGUUGCAAUAACAAGAUCCAAGCAACUGUUUACCAAAAACACAGGUCUCCGCUAAGUCGAAAGACGAUGUAUGGGGGCUGACGCCUGCCCAGUGCCAGCAGGUUAAAGAAGUUGGUUAGCUUCGGCGAAGCUGAUGACUGAAGCCCUGGUGAACGGCGGCCGUAACUAUAACGGUCCUAAGGUAGCGAAAUUCCUUGUCGGGUAAGUUCCGACCCGCACGAAAGGCGUAAUGAUUUGGAUACUGUCUCGGAGAGGGGCUCGGUGAAAUAGACUUGUCUGUGAAGAUGCGGACUACCUGCACCUGGACAGAAAGACCCUAUGAAGCUUUACUGUAACUUGAGAUUGAAAUUGGACUUUAUUUGCGCAGUAUAGGUGGGAGACGUUGAGAAUAUUCUUGCGGGAAUAUUGGAGUCAUCAGUGAGAUACCACUCUUGUAAUGUUAGAUUUCUAACUUUGUAUCAUUAUCUGGUCAAAGGACAGUUUCAGGCGGGCAGUUUGACUGGGGCGGUCGCCUCCUAAACGGUAACGGAGGCGCACAAAGGUUUCCUCUGAACGUGUAGAAAUCGUAUCUAGAGUGUAAAGGCAUAAGGAAGCUUGACUGUGAGACCUACAAGUCGAGCAGGGACGAAAGUCGGUCUUAGUGAUCUGACGGUGCUGAGUGGAAAGGCCGUCACUCAACGGAUAAAAGUUACUCUAAGGAUAACAGGCUGAUCUCCCCCAAGAGUUCACAUCGACGGGGAGGUUUGGCACCUCGAUGUCGGCUCAUCGCAUCCUGGGGCGGUAGUACGUCCCAAGGGUUGGGCUGUUCGCCCAUGAAAGCGGUACGCGAGCUGGGUUCAGAACGUCGUGAGACAGUUCGGUCCAUAUCCGGUGUAGGCGUUAGAAUAUUGAGAGGAGCCUUCUUUAGUACGAGAGGACCGAGAAGGACAUACCUCUGGUGUACCAGUUAUCGUGCCAACGGUAAACGCUGGGUAGCUAUGUAUGGAGUGGAUAACCGCUGAAAGCAUCUAAGUGGGAAGCCCACCUCAAGAUAAGUAUUCUC
This 1243-nucleotide ribosomal RNA is filed under the name metagenome. RNAcentral's name for it is "bacterial LSU rRNA". It matches the Rfam family "Bacterial large subunit ribosomal RNA", at positions 1564 to 2815 of the family's 2925-position model. The record is from RNAcentral.